RNAcentral lists this transfer RNA (66 nucleotides) under Candidatus Uhrbacteria bacterium. RNAcentral's name for it is "tRNA-Ser". Lineage: Bacteria; Candidatus Uhriibacteriota. The record is from RNAcentral.
GCGGCAGUAGUUUCCCGCCUAUGGCGGGNNAGAAGGUCGCCGGUUCGAGCCCGGUCUGCCGCUCCA